This 236-nucleotide ribosomal RNA is filed under the name uncultured bacterium. RNAcentral's name for it is "partial 16S ribosomal RNA". It matches the Rfam family "Bacterial small subunit ribosomal RNA", at positions 100 to 334 of the family's 1533-position model. The record is from RNAcentral.
CGGGACGGGUGAGUAAUGUCUGGGAAACGUGCCUGAUGGAGGGGGAUAACUACUGGAAACGGUAGCUAAUACCGCAUAACGUCGCAAGACCAAAGAAGGGGGACCUUCGGGCCGUCUUGCCAUCGGAUGUGCCCAGAUGGGAUUAGCUAGUAGGUGGGGUAACGGCUCACCUAGGCGACGAUCCCUAGCUGGUCUGAGAGGAUGACCAGCCACACUGGAACUGAGACACGGUCCAG